This 467-nucleotide ribosomal RNA is filed under the name uncultured Spirochaetaceae bacterium. Its description in RNAcentral is "bacterial SSU rRNA". It matches the Rfam family "Bacterial small subunit ribosomal RNA", at positions 917 to 1381 of the family's 1533-position model. The record is from RNAcentral. Lineage: Bacteria; Pseudomonadati; Spirochaetota; Spirochaetia; Spirochaetales; Spirochaetaceae.
GACGGGGCCGCACAAGCGGUGAGCAUGUGGUUUAAUUCGAUGAUACGCGAAAACCUUACCAGGGCUUGACAUUUAGUCGACGUUCCGAGAGAUCGGAAUUCCCUUCGGGGCGGCUAAACAGGUGCUGCAUGGCUGUCGUCAGCUCGUGUUGUGAGAUGUUGGGUUAAGUCCCGCAACGAGCGCAACCCUUACUGCUAGUUGCCAACAGGUUAAGCUGGGGACUCUAGCGGAACUGCCGGUGACAAACCGGAGGAAGGCGGGGAUGACGUCAAGUCCUCAUGGCCCUUAUGUCCUGGGCUACACACGUGCUACAAUGGAUUGUACAAAGGGUAGCGAUACUGCAAGGUGGAGCCAAUCCCAAAAAGCAAUCCGUAGUUCAGAUUGGAGUCUGCAACUCGACUCCAUGAAGCUGGAAUCGCUAGUAAUCACAGAUCAGCAUGCUGUGGUCGAAUACGUUCCCGGGCCUU